Gopherus flavomarginatus (Mexican gopher tortoise) is the source of this 5280-nucleotide RNA transcript. It is a transcript of the gene named mediator of DNA damage checkpoint 1, with no coding region annotated. The record is from RefSeq and is a predicted model, not a curated record. Lineage: Eukaryota; Metazoa; Chordata; Testudines; Testudinidae. The transcript is spliced from 18 exons.
CUCGCAGCGAACAAUCUAGCCAGGCACUUGGUGCCGCUCUAUGGUUCCGGGGCGACACUCUACACGCACAUCCGCCUCCUCUCUAUGCUCCAAACGCGAGACUGGUCCCCAGGGAGCAGCGGGGCGGGAACAAGGACGGCGGAACCCGCCCACUCCAAUGACUGACACCCACGAUGACCAAUCAGGACAAGACAAAGCUUUGCGGCUGGGCCCCGGUUGGCCAAUCAGGGGCCUCCCUGCUGGGAAGCGCCAGGAGGGACCCGUGGGGCUGCCGUUGGAACCAGAGGCCAUGGAGCAGACCCAGCUGCUGGAGUGGGAGGAGGACGGGGACCCCCCCGGGGGAGAGGCCGACAGGGAAGCGCCUCAGCCCGUGGGGCGGCUGCACCUGCUCAGCAGCAAAUAUGGGCCGGAGCAAGAUUUCUGGAUCUACCCCGGGGAGAACGUGGUGGGGCGGCUGCCGGGCUGCCAGGUCUGCUUGCCGGCCCCCUCAGUCUCCAAGGCCCACGCGGUGAUUGAGGUCCCAGCACCGGGCGGGCCCCACCUGCUCUAUGACCGGGGCAGCCUGAACCGGACCCGGCGCCAGCGAGGCGUCCUGCUACCCCAGGUCCGCUACAGCCUAGAGGAUGGAGACACCCUCAUGUUUGGGGACGUGGGCUGCCAGUACUUCCUGCUGCCACCAGGGAGCGCCGACCCCGAGGACUCUCUGGAGGUGCCGCCCACCCAGCCCCGGGCCCCCAACACCCUGGCCAUCGAGGAGACCCCCGCACCCAGCAAGAGGAUGGGCUACGGGCCCCUGCUGGCCAGGGACUCUGAGGAUGAGGAGGAGCUGCAGGGUGGAGGAAGGCUCCUGCACCUGCUAGGGAGCAAUGGUUCUGCCUCCUCCUCUGACGCUGGCGUCCAUUCCCACGCAGCCUCCUCCUCCCCGGGUGCAACCGUGGUGCCGGAAAGCGACGAGGAAGGUGGCGAGACCCCUGACGCCCCCUGCCCCUCCCUGCGCCUGAGCUAUGGCAGCGAGCGGACCCUCGGCCCGCCGGAGAACGGAGUCACUGCCCUGGGUACCGAGCAGCCCAGGGCCACAGGGGUGGUUGGGACAGACCCGGAGCCCAUGUUGGCCGCCUGCCGCUUCGUCAAGGGUCCUGGCCACAUGGGCAUUGCCUCGGGCGCGGGGCCGGGAGCAGCUGUCAGGGGCCUGGGGAACGGUUGCCCCGUUGAGGUGGGCAGCAUUACAGAUGUGGAGGAGGUAGUACAGCAUCCAGAUGUUGUGCAGAAGAACCGUGGACCUGCUCUCCUGGGGGACAGCGAUACAGAUGAUGAUGUGGAUCCAAAGUGCCACCCAUCUGCCAUUGAGAUGGACAGUGAUACAGAUGUGGAGGAGGAGGCACGGAAUCCAGAUGUGCAUCCAAAGGACCAUCAGCUUGCUGGAAAUGGGGACUGUGAUACAGAUGUGGAGGCACCACUGGAGAAUCCAGAUGUGCAAGGAAUGAAGAACCAGCCUGCUGCCCCUGGGGACAGCGAUACAGAUGUGGAGGGGGCUGGAGUGAAUCCAGAUGUUGUGGGUCCAAAGAGCUAUCAGCCCAGCUUUGAGGUGGACAGCGAUACAGAUGUGGAGGAGGCGGCGGCGGCGGCAGCAAAUAAUCCAGAUCUGCGGAAGAACCAUCGACAUCCUCUCCCUAGGGGCAGCGCCACAGAUGUGGAGGGGGAAGUAGAGAAUCCAGAUGAUGUGCAUCCUGAGAGCCACCACUCUGCCAAAAAUGGGGAGAGUGAUACAGAUGUGGAGGAGGUUGCAGAGAAUCCAGAUGUUGUACAGAAGAGCCAUCAGCCCGCUGUUGAGGUGGGUAGUGAUACAGAUGUGGAGGAGGAGAAAGAGACUCCAGUGGUAGUACAGAACAACCAUCAACUUGUUUCCCCAGGGGGCGGAGAUGCAGAUGUGGCGUGGGUGGUGGGAAAACCAAAUGUGCGACAAACGAACAAUGAGCUUGCUGCCCCUGAGGAUAGUGAUACAGAUGUGGAGGAAUCUGAUAGAAAUCCAGAUGUUGUCACUGCAAAGAGCCAUCCCCUUGCUGUUGACAUGGGCAGUGAUACAGAUGUGGAGGAGACUGGGAAUCCAGAUGUGAGUACAAAGAGCCAUCCACUCGCCAUUGAUGUGGGCAGUGAUACCGAUGUGGAGGAAGAGGAGGCAAAGAAUCCAGAUGUUGUAAUGAAGAAUGAUCAACAUGCUCUCCCUGGAGACAGAGAUCCAGAUGUGACAGGGACAGUGGGGAAACCAGAUGUGCAUCCUAAGGGCCAUCAUUUUGCAGAAAAUGAGGACAGCAAUACAGAUGUGGAGGAGUCUGUGGGGAAUCCAGAUGUUGUACAGAGGAGCCAUCAGCCUACUCUGGAGGCAGGUGACGAUACAGAUGUGGAAGAGGCUGAGGAGAAAUCAGAUGCUGGAAGACGAAACGACCCUCUGUCUGUCGCCACUGGGGACAGCGAUACAGAUGUGGAGGAGAAUCCAGAUGUUGGCCAACAGACUCUUCACUGGCCCAGUGGAGACAGCGACACAGAUGUGGAGGGGGCUCCCGGGGCAGAGUUCGACCAGACGCCAGGUCCUGUGGGGGGCCCAGUCCAGGCGGGUGUGGAGCAGCCACCAGCUGCCCAGUCCUAUGUCAGCCCAGAGACCAAGUUGAUGGACACGGAGGGGAACAAGGAUCCAGCGUGGGGCCCAGGCCAGCCUGGAGACGACAACGAGACAGACGUGGAGGAUGACGCUGAUUUUGCCCUGCAGGCCACGCAGUGCUACCUGGCUGAGGAGACCCCGUCCUCAGGGGCUGAGGCCGCCAGAGCCCCCACGGCAGCAGAUUCGGGGAGCAGCCUAGAGGAGGAAGCCACCCAGACAUUUGUCUUCAGAUCGCCCCUGCCUGCACAAGGGUCCGUGAUGUCACCCCCUGCUGGACCAGCCCUGCAUGCGCCAGUCUGUACCUCUUCAGAGAAGGAGGAGGACUCGGACGAGGAUCUGUGUGUUGUGGAAGUGACUCAGUCGUUCUGCAAGGACCCCGGGCCCCACUCGGACCAGCCCACACAGCCCUUCCUCCCCAAGGAGGACACCCAGCUGCUGCCCCGUCCCCCGCCACUGGGGGGAGUCCUGUCUCGGGAGCUGGCGCAGCCCGAAGUACCCGGCCUGGCCUCUGGGAGGCUGCUGCCCCUUGGCCCCAAGGAGGAGUCAGAGCCCCCUGGCGGGGCAGUGCCAGCAGGGGGCGCCAGGAGGGAGCCACCGGAGGAGGAGGAAUCCCAGCCCGUGCGUCUAGUGCUGAGCGCUCCCCGCAGGCCAGCCCUGGUACUGCAGGGCGAGGGCAGGCGGGCAGGAGCAGAGCCCAGGGGCAGCAGCUCUGGGCAGCGCCUGAGAGGGCAGGGUGGCCCGGAGGCUGCGGAGAGACGGGAGACCCCAGCAGUUGUUGGGGUCACGGGGGCCGGGCCCCACCCCAUGGGGGCACAGCCUGAGGAUGCUGGGAAGGUUCCAGAGGCUCAUUCCAGUCCCUCCAUCCCCAUGAGGCGCCGGAGCCUGCGAUCUGCUCUGGUUCCCGCUCCCCCACCACCAGCCCCUGCCCCGGAGAGGCGGAGCCGGCGGGGUGGGGCGGAGAAGUCCGUGGGGUCCGAAGAACGCAGCCAGUCCGUCCCGGCCGCCCCCCAGCGUAGGGGGAGGCGCCAGCUUUGCAGCACAUCCAUGUACGUGGAGGCGCCGGAGCCGGGGAGUGUCGAGGAGGUGGAGCAGCCUGGCCCUCUGAAGAGGCCCAGGAGGGCUGUGCGGACUCAGGAGGACCCCCACACAGAGCCAGAGGCCUCGAGCCAGGGGGCUCCAGGCCGGGCCCGGAGAUCUCGGGUGGCUGCUGGCGCAGAACCGGCUGCAGCCAGCGAGCCCCGGAGGGGAUCAAGGGGAGCAGAGCAGGAGGCUUUGCAGGGCCAAGCCCGGCGGUCCCAGAGAGCCCCUGUCCAGGAGCCAGCCCCCAGGAGGAGGGGUGCUGCAGAGCCAGCCAGGGAGACCCAAGGCAAGCGGAGAGGGGUGGCCACCCUGGAUCUGCCUCCGGCACAGGGCGAGGGACGAGUGGGCAGUGCCGUAGCCCAAGAGGAUGCUGGGAGUGACGCCAGAAAGAGGCAGGAGGUGCCGGUCGCCCCACUGCGGCGCCAGAGCACGGAGAACAAGGUGGAGGGGCUGCGGACCAGGGCCCCUCGCCGAUCCCAGGGGGCAGCCGGUGGCUUGGCCUCCCCCAGGGUGCUGUUCACGGGGGUGAUCGACGAGGCGGGCGAGCGGGUGGUCUCGGCGCUGGGCGGGGCGCUGGCCCGGUCGGUCUUCGACUGCACCCACCUGGUGACGGACCGGGUGCGCCGUACGGUGAAGUUCCUGUGCGCCCUGGCCCGCGGGGUGCCCAUCGUCACGCUGGACUGGCUGGACAAGAGCGGGCGCAGCGCCUGCUUCCUGUCACCCAGCGGCUUCCUGGUGCGGGACGCAGAGCAGGAGCGAAACUUUCACUUCAGCCUGGCCCAGUCGCUGCAGCGAGCGCGCAGGGGACCCCUGCUGCAGGUGAGACCCCCCUGUCCACUCGUCCGACCCCCCUGUGCCAUGCGGGAGGCCCUGCUGCAGGUGAGAGCCCCCCGUCCACUCGUCUGACCCCCCUGUGCCAUGCGGGAGGCCCUGCUGCAGGUGAGAGCCCCCCGUCCGCUCGUCUGACCCCCCUGUGCCAUGCGGGAGGCCCUGCUGCAGGUGAGACCCCCCCCGUCCACUCAUCUGACCCCCCGUGCCAUGCGGGAGGCCCUGCUGCAGGUAAGAGCCCCUCAUCCACUCGUCUGACCCCACUGACACUCCCCUGCACCAUGGGGGGGGCCCUGCUCUUGCGACCCCUGCUCCCCCACACUGCCCACCACGCAGGGGGGCCCGGCUGCAGGUUAAACCCCACUGGCUCCCCCCAGCAUCCACCCCCCACUGGCCUGUCGCAGGUGAGACCCUCUGAACCCACUCACCCCCCACCAAUCCCCUCCCCACCAUCCACCACGCUGUGGGGGUGGGGGGCGGGGCAGCUGCAGGUGCAUCCAGACUGAUCCUCCCCCCACACCCAGGUGGGCCCGUCUGGGCAGGAUGCCGCCUGCAGCUGGCCCUGUCACGAGCUCCUCACCCUUGAGGUCUGAGCUGUGGAUACCUGGUCCCUGGGCUUAGCUGCCUGCUCUGCCCCUUCCCUCCUGGGAGCAGGGGGUGGGUCAGUCACAGCCGCGUCCCCCUCCCCAGGGCUACGAGAUCCACGUCACCCCCAA